Haemorhous mexicanus (house finch) is the source of this 5472-nucleotide RNA transcript. It is a transcript of the gene named WASP like actin nucleation promoting factor, with no coding region annotated. The record is from RefSeq and is a predicted model, not a curated record. NCBI's taxonomy places the organism in Eukaryota, Metazoa, Chordata, Aves, Passeriformes, Fringillidae. The transcript has 13 exons.
CGCCGUGGUCUCGCCCGCCCCCGCUGCCAUGUUGGAUCGCGCGGCCGCCGGGGCCGGGCCGGAGUUGGAAGUUUAGGGGCGGGAGCGAUCGGGAGCGGCCCCGGCGCGGAGCGGCUUCCGCGCGGCUGCACUGCUGCCUGGCACCCCCUUUCCCGACCGCCCCCCUCCCCGCCGCUCCUCUUCUCCUCCUUCCUUCCUCGGCCCCGCGAAGAGGCUCCGCGAUGCGGCUGCUGUGAGGCCCCGGCAGCGGCGGCGGAGGAGGAAGGGGAGGAAGGGGCCGCGGGCGCCAUCGGUCGCAGGGCGGCGAGGGCAGCGCCGGGCCGGCCCCGGCCAUGAGCGGCGCCCCGCAGCAGCAGCCCCCGCGGCGGGUCACUAACGUGGGCUCGCUGCUGCUCACCCCGCAGGAGAACGAGAGCCUCUUCGGCUUCCUCGGCAAGAAAUGCGUGACGAUGUCAUCAGCAGUUGUUCAGAUAUAUGCAGCAGAUCGCAAUGCCAUGUGGUCAAAGAAGUGCUGUGGUGUAGCUUGCCUUGUAAAGGACAAUCCACAGAGGUCAUAUUUUAUCAGAAUAUUUGACAUUAAGGAUGGGAAAUUAUUGUGGGAGCAGGAGCUGUACAAUAACUUUGUAUAUAAUAGUCCUAGAGGAUAUUUUCAUACCUUUGCUGGAGAUACAUGUCAAGUUGGUCUUAAUUUUGCUAAUGAAGAAGAAGCUAAACUAUUCCGCAAAACAGUAACAGAUUUACUUGGACGACGGCAGAGAAAAUCUGAAAAAAGACGAGACCCACCAAAUGGCCCAAAUCUACCAAUGGCAACUGUUGAUAUCAAAAACCCUGAAAUUACAACUAACAGAUUUUAUACUCCACAAGUCAACAAUAUUUCAUAUACCAAAGAAAAGAAGAAAGGAAAAACUAAAAAGAGAAGAUUGACAAAGGCAGAUAUUGGAACUCCAUCUAAUUUCCAACACAUUGGACAUGUUGGUUGGGAUCCAAACACAGGUUUUGAUGUGAACAAUUUAGACCCAGAACUGAAAAAUCUGUUUGAUCUGUGUGGAAUUUCAGAGGCUCAACUAAAAGACAAAGAAACUUCGAAGGUCAUAUAUGAUUUCAUUGAAAAAACAGGAGGUGUGGAAGCUGUUAAAAAUGAACUGCGCAGACAAGCUCCACCUCCGCCACCACCGUGCAGAGGAGGACCCCCUCCACCUCCACCUCCCCCUCCCCAUAGCUCGGGCCCUCCUCCUCCUCCUGCUAGGGGCCGAGGGGCACCACCUCCACCUCCUUCAAGGGCUCCCACAGCAGCACCUCCGCCCCCACCUCCAUCUAGACCUGGUGCAACAGUGCCCCCACCUCCUCCCAACCGGAUGUAUCCUCCACCACCACCCGUGCAUUCCUCAUCCGCACCAUCCGGCCCUCCUCCGCCCCCACCGCCACCAGCAAGUGGGUCAUCUGUUCCUCCGCCCCCUCCACCUCCUCCACCCCCUCCUGGUCCACCUCCACCACCAGGCCUUCCUUCAGAGGUUGAUCACCAGCUUCCAGUUCCUUCGGGAAACAAAGCAGCACUCUUGGAUCAAAUCAGAGAAGGAGCUCAGUUAAAGAAGGUAGAACAGAACAGUCGACCAGUGUCCUGCUCAGGAAGAGAUGCACUGCUAGACCAGAUACGACAGGGUAUACAGUUGAAAUCUGUAUCUGAUGGUCAGGAAAGUGCACCACCUACACCUGCACCCACCUCAGGGAUUGUGGGUGCAUUAAUGGAAGUUAUGCAGAAAAGGAGCAAAGCCAUUCACUCUUCAGAUGAAGAUGAGGAUGAAGAUGAUGAAGAAGACUUUGAGGAUGAUGACGAAUGGGAUGAUUGAUCAUAUAUUAUUAUAUAUAUAUUUUUUAAGGAGCUGGGAUAUUCUUCUGACUCACUGCACUAAUGUCCUGGAUAAUUCAGAUGUUACCACAUCUCAGCCCUUACUACUUGGCCAUUCUUGUCUUCACUAACAAUGCCCCUAAACCCCCUGGUAGAAAUACAGUUAGCACAAAUACCUUCAGCAGCUUACAGCACACAGCUAUCGUUCAGCACGUUUCAAAGAAACUGAAGUUGUCCUGUUGUGGAUUUCUCUUUGGGAAAAUAAUGUCCUACUCGUGUAUCAAAGUGAAGAGCAACAGAGAUCCUAAAUGACCAGUUGGGAAAACAUCAUGCUGGUUGCUCUCAAGAGCACUGUGAGAGAUCAUUGCAGCUCCCCCAGACCCAGCAAGAGGAAUGAACAGCCCUGCAGUUUUCCACCUCAUGGCUUGUUGAAGAACUGAGCAGUUUUACAAUUUGUCCCAGAAGUAAUGAACUCUCCAGACUUCUUAAUUUCAAAUCAAAUGAGAGACCCUGAGUCUGCCCAAGAGAUUCAUUAACCUUGAAUUUCAAAGAAGAUAUCCUAUAAACAGAGCCAUAGUCAAAUUGAAAAUCUUUUGAGAGCACUGCUCCAUUUGGAGGAGGGGUUAAAUAUUUAUCGUCUUGGAAAGAAGCUGAUUUGGAAAGCAGGUGUUUAAACAUUCAUUGAAAUAGGCAGUGAAAUUCAGGUCUUUGCUUUGAGCCAUCUCAGGCAUGUGAGUCUCACCCCAACAGCAGCACCGGAGACCCAGAAAUUCCACAAUGGAAGUAAUGAAUGGGCCCAUCUCUAAUGAAAGAACCUCUGCAUCUUUCACCCCAUUGCCACUUUAUCCCACGUGGCACUGCUAAUGUCAGUGCAAUGACGAGACAGUAUCAGACAAUCCACAGGCAGAGCAGGUGAUGGGAGAGCAGUCUUGGGUCAUGCAGAACCCCAAAGGACCACACAUUCCCAGUUACUCAGCACCACAUCUCCUCUGGUGGGGAAUAAAGCUGAGGAGAAGGGCACUGCAGGAGGGAAAGCUGACUACCUCAGGAUCAGUGUGACUGCCCCAGGAUCAGUGUGACUGCCCCAGGAUCAGUGUGACUGCCCCAGGAUCAGUGUGGCUGCUUCAGGAUCAGUGUGACUGCCCCAGGAUCAGUGUGGCUGCUUCAGGAUCAGUGUGGCUGCCCCAGGAUCAUUGUGACGGCCCCAGGAUCAGUGUGGCUGCCCCAGGAUCAGUGUGGCUGCUUCAGGAUCAGUGUGACUGCCCCAGGAUCAGUGUGGCUGCUUCAGGAUCAGCCUGCAGUGGGAUCACAGCUGGCUGACAGGGCAGGAAGCUGAGGGCCCUGAGGGCAGCUGUCUGAGGACCUAGUGCCCCCUGCAUUGAUCAGGUCUGCUCACCUUGCAUUUAAUAAGGCAUUAGAAGGAGACACAGCAAGCUGUAGUAUUGACAUGCUGUUCUGUCACUCACAGAUAAGGGCAUUCAUUGCCACUCUGAGGUAGUCAAAUAAGAGCUAUCCAGUGUGAAUGGUCCUCCAUGCCCAGUGUGGUUGAUAUCAAUGACCUUACUUUUCACCUAAGAAGAUGACAAAGAACUAAAUAAGACUUCCCAAUGGACAUUGUUUAGGGAGACUUUGAGGCCCAUCUACUAUGGAUUUUUAAGAGCCAGUUUAAUUAUGUUUGAUGUUUUCUUGGAGCAAAGGCCAGUCUGGAGGAGUUUUUAUGCUCUACAGACAGGAAGCUGAUGAAAUGUGCUCAGUGCCCUUGAGGUAACACCAUGUCUUGUAACAGGGAGCUGUCAGAGCAGGAUUAGGGCUCUGGACUGAUACCCAGCUGUGAGCUCAGCUCUCCAUGUGACCUGUGGGAUUCUUUGCAGUGGGAAUUCAAGAGUGGGAGCCAGUGGCACGGUGGGGCUAUUCAGGCUGCUCAGCUGUGCUGGCCUAUCAACUAUCAACAUCUGUGGCUCUGUAUCACUAAGAGCUUAGGGUACUGAUCCAGAAAAAUUAUAUCCAAGCUAAAUCCAUGCUGCCCAAUACUGUCCUCCCUCUGUUCGUAGCUAGAGGUUCCAGCAUCUCCUUUGCACCAGCAACACAGCUCUGAAACUGCAGUGAGAGGUCUAGGGAAGCAAACUGGAACAGUCUUCCUUUUUGCUGGUUGAUUUUUUUUUUCUGCAGUGCACAUCCAGAGCUGAAAAACUGUCCUGGAGCUGCACCAGCUGGUGUUGCACCUAAAAUCAAACAACUGGGAUGCUUGGAGUGAUUGGAUCUCAAACUCAUCUUAGUCACUUUAAACUAUAGCAGAGACUGAAAAGUUUAGCUCAUGAGCGGCUAGACGGAAGAUAAUCCCGGCAUGGGAUGACAUAAAUCUUCUAACAAGGGCUUGUAACACACCCAAACCCAUGCUAAACUGGGAUGAAAGGCAGGAGAAUUUGCCCUGGAGUAUUUGUCUGGGUGCUGCCUGUGCAGUCACAAACCUGGGCUGGUGCUGGUGCCUGUCUCACCACUCACAAUAUGGGCAGAGCUUGCUUGUACCUGCCCACCCUCACAGCUGAGACUGACCUGCCACAGCCUGGGCACACUUGGUGAAGAGGAAAACAAAGGGCUGGAAUUUGGCAGAAGUGAUUAAGAGCACAUGAAACCCGAGCACUGUUGCCUUCCAACUUGUUUGUGAAACACAGCAACACAUGCAUGGGUCGCAGAUUUAGAGAGCAGUAAGCUGAGACCAAGCAACAGGGGUGACCCCACACUGUGUACACAUAAACACUUCCUUCAGGUGCCUGCAAAACUCACUGCUUUAACUGUAGCUCAUUGGCAGCCCUCAAGAACUUUGAUGAGUGUGAUAAUUAAAAAAUACAGCUAUGCAUACAUGCAAGCAAAAUAGCCUUCAUACGUGGAGGCUAUACUGGGUUAGUCUGGUGAAAUGUCUUCUAGGCCACUCCUGGGAAUCAUCCCAAAUUUAUCCUCCCCAGAGUGCAUAAGCAUUUCUGACUAUCAGUUCCUUAGAAGCUUGUUUCUCAAGUGAGGGAAUGGCAGAAAUGGCGUGUCUUCCUUUACACAGUCAUUCUUUCACAGCCAGGUCACCUGUGAGACUCCUGUCCUCAUGGCUUGACUCAUCUGCAUUCACAAAAUUUCCUGCAUUGGAUCAUGGGCUGUCCUUCUCUCACCAUUUAGAAAUAGACCAUAUAGAAAUAUUCACUUAUAUUCCACCAGUUAAAGUAUUCCUCUUAGCAAAAAUGUGGUAAUAAUGAAUUCUACAGCACUUGAUGCCUGAGGAUCUUGGAGCACACUUCAGUCUAUGUGAACAUAACCUUGCAGUACUGUGAGAUGGAUCAGUACUGAUGUCUCCAAGGCAAAGUAGAGGCAUAACAAAUUAAAAAAUAUACCCUAGAGUACACAAACAGCCCAGGACAUAACCCUCAGUCUUGGCUUUGAGAAACAUGUCUGGGCUCUUACCAUACACUCAAUAAGAAUUUUUUCUGUGACUGUAUUUUAAUAAAAGAAAAGUAUCUUUCCCUGUGUUAUAGAAAAUAACUCUUUUUUUUUUUUGCCAUUAAAAAGGCUUUAUAAAAUUCAUAUUUAUUUGAAGGUGAAAGUAGUCAAAGGUUACAGAUAGAAAUAAAUACAUUUGGCAG